AGUCAGUUCCUCACAGGCUGCUGGCUGGAGGCCUCCCCUCUGUUCCUGGUCACGUGGCCCCAUCCCAGGGCGUUCGCAACAGGGCAGCUGGCUUCCUGCAGAGCAGAAUGUGUCAGAAGCAUGGCCUUUGGAAAAGGUAACAAGAACAAAAUCCGGGAUUGGAUCACGCUAUGGUUUCUCAUCACUGAAACAUUACAGAAUGGCUGGCUAACGCUGUGCAACAAAAUUCUUGAAAUGGAACUGCUUCAGUAAAUCUGAGGAAGAGGGACUUCCCUGGUGGUGCAGUGGUUAAGAAUCUGCCUGCC
Molecule: long non-coding RNA, 305 nt
Organism: Eubalaena glacialis (North Atlantic right whale)
Lineage: Eukaryota; Metazoa; Chordata; Mammalia; Artiodactyla; Balaenidae
Exons: 3
Source: RefSeq, a predicted model, not a curated record